RNAcentral lists this unclassified non-coding RNA (953 nucleotides) under Hevea brasiliensis (rubber tree). The record is from RNAcentral. Lineage: Eukaryota; Viridiplantae; Streptophyta; Magnoliopsida; Malpighiales; Euphorbiaceae.
UUAGCACCAUCAUAACCUUUCUUCCCCAGAAUCUCCGGUGCUACAUAAGCAGGGGUACCACAAAGUGUAUGAAGCAACCCGUCAGGUCGGAUCUGAUCCCUGACAGCGCUUAACCCGAAAUCAGUAACUUUCAGGUCCCAAUUUUCGUCCAGUAAUAAGUUUUCCGGUUUCAAAUCACGGUGAUAGACCCCGCGAGAGUGACAGUAUCCAACGGCGGAGAUUAACUGCUGGAAAUAUCGACGGCUGAGAUCUUCGCUGAACCGGCCUUUAGCUAGCUUGGCGAAGAGUUCACCUCCUUUAGCGAAUUCCAGGACGAAGUAGAUUUUCUUCUUAGUAGCAAGAAUCUCAUGUUGCCGUACGAUAUGGGGAUGACGCAACCGACGCAUGAUAGAGAUUUCUCUCUUAACGUGCCCCGUUAGCCCACCUUUGAGUAUUUUCUGUUUGCUGACGACUUUAAUGGCCACACUCUGUGCCGUCCUGAAGUCUCUGGCAUGAUAUACUUUACCAAAAGCACCACAACCCAGGAGUUGUCCCAGUUCAUAUUUGUCAAAAAGGUUUGAAUUAACAUCGUCUUCCGGCGGAGGUAACUCAGCCGGAGUUAAUUCAGCGUAGAUUGCUGCGGCAGUGGAUAGUAAAGAUGUACUGCCUCCAUAGUUAUUAAGUAUGAUCUCUGGCAUAACUGUAAACACAAACCGGAAAGCUAGUAACCCCUUUGUGAAUUUUCUCUAACCUUUGCAUUAAAACACCGAGCAAAUCAAAUUUGCCCGAUAUUAGAAAUUUUGAUAAUACUUGGGUAGCCGUUUUCGUUAAUUAGUGACAAUUAAGAACGAUUUCCAGAAAAAAAUGGAUAGAGUUGCUUAAAGUGUAGAGGAUUCUUAUGGUAGUUGAGUGCAAAACAAAGAAGAUGUAUUUGAUUUUUUUCUUAAAGCAAAAGGGGCAGAGAGAAGAGAGAA